RNA transcript from Daphnia magna, 6320 nucleotides. It is a transcript of the gene named Down syndrome cell adhesion molecule-like protein Dscam2, with no coding region annotated. The transcript has 17 exons. Lineage: Eukaryota; Metazoa; Arthropoda; Branchiopoda; Diplostraca; Daphniidae. The record is from RefSeq and is a predicted model, not a curated record.
UAAACAGAUGAACGUCACGUGAUGUUGGCCAAUGGCGACUUGCAAGUUUUGUCUGCGCAUCAAGGCGACGAGAAUUAUUUGUAUCAUUGUCGAGUUCUCGUCCAGCCCAUCAGGCAAACAAUGACCAGUUUCACUGCUGGACGAAUCAUCCUCAGUCAAGAAUCCAGGACAAAGAUGGCACAAGUCAUUUUAGAAACUGUGAAUCGAAUUCGAAGUUUGGCGUGGACGAGAUGCCGUUUUACCUUGUGUUUUUCACGGAUAUCUUCCGCAUAAAAUCAAAUGGUACAAAAGUCAAACGAUUCAGUAUGGCAAUUUGUUUUUGCCACUGGUGACAUCAGCUGCCACACAAGAGCAUCGUGAUGGAGUGCUGGGACUUGGGCGUCAUCGCCUCAUUGGUGGCACUUUACUCAUCGCUUCCGUCGUCACCGAAGAUCAGGGCAGUUACAUUUGUUUUGUCAACAGUUCCAUUGGAUUAGUCGAAUCACGUACCGAACUCGUUUCUCGUGUCAAAUUACAAGUCAGAAACGUCGAACGUCGUCAUCGCCGCAUAGAAUGCACAGCACAUUUAAGUCGCCGAUCCAGAAACGUCCGUCACCAUCACGUGUCAUUUCUCCGGCCGGUUGUCAGUUGGCUCAAAGAUGGCCAGCGCUUCUUGGUGGGUAAUAGUGGUCGUGUUUCUUCUUCAUCCGGCGACGACGGUUACACCGAUAUGGUCCAGUUAUCCAUUUCGUCCGUCCAACGUGAAGAUGAGGGAAUAUACCAAUGCCUGACAUCCAAUGACGAAGGAGAUUGGGCCCAAGCAUCGGCCCAGCUGGCCAUUGGAGCAUUUCCUCCUCAUUUGAAAGAAACGUUCAGUCGGCAAGUUGUACAUCCGGGAAGUUCAGUCUCGUUGAAAUGUUUGGCCUCUGGCACUCCGCUGCCUCAUUUCACUUGGACGCUGGACGGGUUUCCGUUAUCGCCCGUUUCCGAACGAUAUUUCCUCGGCCAGCAGCAACAAACGGGUCACGACGAUCUUGUAGUGGCUCAUCUCAACAUAACCCACGUCCGAGUCGAAGACGGAGGCAAUUACAAAUGUGUAGCGGAGAAUCGAGUGGGUCGCGUAGAGCAUUCAGCCAAUUUGCAUAUUUACUUCAAUUCAAUGGCAGUUUGACGAUCGAUCCGUUGGAUAAGAGCAGCGACGCCGGUCUUUAUAGUUGCGAGGUGCGUGGCCAGAACGGACUCUCGGCUCGCCAGUCACUUCAACUCAACAUCCUCGCUUUGCGAAAAUAUUGACUCGGCGCCUUUUUCUUUUCCCCCUCCGCCCUGUAAACUUGCUCGGUCGCUGUGUAUACUCUUUGAUGAUGAGAAAGUUAACAGCGCUUUUCUAUCCGGUCUGGAAGCAGAAAAAAAUUUUAAAAAAAAGGAAGCAAUGAAAGCAAAUGAGACAGACCGACUAUAUCGAUCCAGCAGCCAGAAGCCAAUUUAAGUCUUUCCCAUUUAUUUUUGUGAAAAACAAGAAAAAGGAGAUGAGUUAAGUGGGUAGGAAGGAUAAAUUUAGAAAUUUCUCGACGUUUUUUUUUUGUUGUUGCUUCCGGUCGCCGGAAUUCCGUUUAAAAAAAAAAAAAACACGAAAAUAAAACGAUAUUGGAUACAGACGCGCCUCAUAUAAUGGCAAUGAGCGAUUCGGCCGUGUUGAAUUCCGGCGAACGAUUGGCUCUUCAAUGCGCCGUAGUUAAAGGUGGAUUGCCGUUGUCCGUCAGCUGGUCGAAAGAUGGCCAAGUGAUCGCACCGACAACUGCAACAACGACGACUAGCGUCCGUUUGGUGAACGAAUUCACAGCCACGUUGACGAUUGAAUCGUUGACUGGACAACAUGGUGGAUGGUACGUCUGCCGCAAAUAUAUAAUUUCAGUUACAAUAGUGCAAUAGAAAAAAAAGUUAUGGAAAUAUUUAUCAGGCUUUAGAGCAGCAUUAGCCUUUGCUAUAUCUCCACAUCAUGUAAAUGGAAAAUCUCUGGAACUUCUUGUUGAGAAAUGAAGCCAUUGUGCAUAUUGCAUCAACCAAGGGCGAAAUGUUACCACAUAUAGGCCAAUGUUACAACGGACACAUGAAGUCUGUAUGUUGGUACAGUUUAUCAACAGGCAUAAGAGCAUGUUCGGGCAAUAAUUGUGGGAUAGUUUAGGUAGAUUCUUUGCUGCGUCAUAGCUCGGGAGUCGUAACGGGCAAUAUCCUUGUGCAUUAAGUUGGUGAACUCUUGUGUUCCAUUGGGGAAAUAUUUCAAAUUGAUUAAUUUGCAUGUUACGGAGUUGUUUUUUUCUGAUCUGUGGAGCCUGACAUUUUCCACAAUUUCUAUCGGCGGACAAAAUGUCUUUUAGGAUUGGUAGCAGCUUACGAAGCAGUAGGUUCCAACAUCAUCUAACGUCUGCUUUAGUAAUGGCAGGGAUGUGAAUGAUAAUUUGUGAAAUCAAACAACUUCAGCAGGUGCCUAGCUCAACAACUCCUAUGAAAUCUAGAUUGGUGGUGGUAGUUAUAGGGCGCCUGUUCAGGCAACAGUUUCGUUUUUUAAUCCGCCAAGGAUUUAUGCGUUAUUGCGUCUACUGUGUAGCCUGAGUAGCAUACGCAAGGGGGCGUUUAUCUACAUUCCUGAUCACCAAGCAGUUACAAAUAUGUUCUACACUGAUAAGCAUCCGAGGCAAAGGGCGAGCUGAACUAGUCUAUUGCCCCUCAACUCCAGAGGGCACUAGUUUACAGCAACUCGGGCUCACCCUUUGGGUAAUUUGAGAUACUUUUCUGGACGGUUCAGAAUCUUAUUAUUGGCCAAAAUUUGAUACGAGAUUAAUUGAUACUUAGUCCUGUCAGACCUCAAAUUCUAAGAGAGUGGAUUCUCAUUUCUUCUUCAUACCAGCGAGCAGAUUUGAGGUUUAAAAUUGUUUUAGGUUGUUAAGCAAGUCUGACUUUCUACGAUGUACAUGGCCGCCAAACUUUGUCGUUAUGUCUCACUGUUAAUCGGUAAGAAAAACGUCGAAUUAUUGACGAUACGUUUGUCAAAAUGGCAAAUACAACGCCUAACGAUUUAAAUCUAACUUGGGAUAAUCUACUUCUCGGACAAGGUACUUUGAGACCGGAUCUAAUUGAGUCCGCUUUCCAUAUGGCUUCUUCGCGCACGGUUGCCAUGAAGACUCGUCAUAACGAUUCCGAAAUGGUUCGUCAAUUUCGCAUUCACGGCCGUGUAGUAGAACCUAUUAAAGACUUCCUUAAAGAUGAAGUAAGAGCCUUAGGUCGUGAGCUGGGUUCCUGCACAAUUACUGGAACGUUACCCGUUUCCUGGUCCCGGUUUGUCAAUUUGAAUCAUUUACGCCGAAGAGCCGUUCUUGGAAGCUAAUUUCGAUGAGACGCAAGUGCUGAUUCGUUCGAUGGUCUAUUAUGCCAACAUAGCAGCCAAGGAACAUGCCUUGCUCAAUCGGAUUGAAAUCGUGACGUCGGAAGAAGAACGUCUUCUUCUGGAAGAACUGUCUAGUCGCAACCUAUGUUGCCACGCUACUGCCUAUUCGCACUGUCGGUGUUCAGGUACAGGAGGUUGCAGAAAAAUGUGUCGGGUAUGGCAAACAAAGCAUAGGGAAAACCGCCACAUUUUUCUGCAAUAUAUUGUACAACAGAUUCGCAAUUUAGACGUUGUCGUAAUAAUGCCGCGAUCGUAAUCAACUCUUAUUCAAGGUAUUAGAUGAUAGGUGCCACCGUAUCUACGCCAAGGUUUUUUUUUCUCUUGUCUAGAUCUUUUAAUGGCCAGUGGGUCCUUGUGAUCAUGGCCAAUGGCUUGAGCCGGAUACCAACGACUAUGGCACCUGUCGCCCUUCGCCUUGCCCAGUAAGCAAAUGCAACGGUCGCCAGAUCUACUGGAAGUCAACACUAAAUUCUGAAGGUGGCUGUUAUAAAUCGUUCACACGUGGGCCUUGCAGGCGAAGUAGCUAUUUCCUCGUUGAAGAAUAUGGCCCUCGAAGAGGUCGAUGUGUUUCUCAAUUUGGAUCAUCCUAUGAAUCCUAUGUCCUUCCGUCACGCUAUCCCAGGAUGAGAAACCCUUACGACAUGAUGUACAACAACGCGAUGAGCCCGUGAUCGAAAUUUGGCAUGUAUCCGCCGUUUGGCAUGCAGGAAGAAUAGCGGAGACGACUAUCCUGACAUUCCCAGUUUCGAUUACUGAACUAGAAACAGUUUUACAGAACCAUUCACAUGGUUUUGUCUCUAUUAUUUCAUUAAAAAAAUGUGAUUGCAAAUUUUCUAUUGUGACGUAUGGCGGAUAAAAAACAACCUUGAUUAGUUUUAAUGCAUGAAUUCGUUAGCCAAUAAUAUGUGUAUGAAGAAAAUGUUUUCACUUUGAAACAGAGUCAUGGAACCCAUCGGUUUCCAUGACUCUGCUUUGAAAGUUUGAACAGGGAUUUCUGUUUUACCUUUCUGCGAUGCGGCAACACAGCAUUGCAUGUCGAUCUGCGAACGUUUGACAACUCGCUGGUAUUGCAACAGGUUAAUAGUUUUGUGUCAAGUAAAUUUCAAGUGCGAGUAACUGCUGGAAGAUUGCAAGCGAAAUCUGUAUGUGUCGUGUCAUUGUUCUAAGUGUUGGAGACUUUUUUCGUUUUGAUUAGGCAUUCAUGUUUGGGAACAAUACCUUAAGUUGGAUAUCGCCUAGUGAUAUUUACAUAUUAAGUCCUAUUUUAAGACACUUGGGGCGAUACGUUUCGCAACAAAGAUCUAUACAGUACUCAAAAGAUGACCCACAAGCACUACGCCAUCACGAUUGAGACAAGGUAAAACAAAACUAUAAAGCGCCAUUUAUCAAUAAUGAAUGAAUGUCCUCAUUCUAACAAUAAUUUAAGAAAAUGUAAAUGUAUACUUAGAUGUGGUAAUUAUUUCGUUUACAUCGACUACACUUCAAUAAUUUACAAGUGGGAAAGUGUUGCCUAUAAGCAACAAGAAGGUAUUGUGCAUGUUUAUGAGCGAAUCAUGGCUUAAUGGGUGAGCAUCGGAUUGUACCGCUGGAUGUUUGUGGAUCAAAUACCAUCAAAGUUUUCUUCACCAUGACCUACUUGGAAUUUAUAUGCCAAUACGUGUAAUCCAUCAAGGACACUGAAUUUCACAACACCUGAAUGGGAUUCGAACCUAAUAUCUAGAGAGUUCCAGUCCAUCGCUCUACCAUUGAGCUAUGCGACAUAUUACUGAGAAAUCUAAGUCUUCAACACAUUAAGGUAACUGUGCAAAGUUGUACAUAGGGGAUCAAAUAUCAAUGGGGGGGGAUAUAGGGGGGGUUGCCAGGAAGGUAUCGCAUCCGCCUAGCAGCUCCAAGGUCCGUGGUUCGAUUCCACGGAGGUUCCCGAUGUCCUGGGCUUCCAAUCUUCCACGUCUGCCAGUCGGGUCGAGAAACUUCCCCAUUACGAAGUAAUGGGACGGAUAUUUUGGCAAUGUUUAAUAUAAUAUCCAAUAAAAAAUCUUAAUAAAUUGUUCAUUAUGAUUUAUCGGUGUGAAUGCGUAUUUUGUUACUUGAAUACUUUACAACGUACUUUAGCCAUUGGCAUCCUCUGUCGAGAUAUCUCACACAUUCUGCUUGAUCAAUAUUUUGUGUAUAUAAGAUUGUAACAUAUAGUCACUCAACUGAAUCUUUUAAUCAUCGUAGUAUUUCUUUCGACUCUUGUAGGAUUUGAACCCUUAAACUUUGGCGUUCCAUGCCGAUGCUCUAACACUGAGCCAUAAUUCACGUUAGUAAGAUUUCUAUAUUUUCGUGUUAAUUGAGUUCAACAAAUGUGGACUUAGAAUAAUAUUUGCAGCGAGAUUCAAGAUAACUUCUUAUUAACAUGUAAAUCCAUCUUAUAGAAACGCAAUGACAUUCACAUUAAAUUUAUUAACCUUCUGCCGGGAGUUGAACCCGAUACCUUUAGAUUCAUUAUCCAACGUUCUACCAAACAGCUAUGAUCCUUGAAUGUAAGUUAUUCAGGUUAGCAUAUAGUUUUGCUAGCCUAUAAAAAUUGCAUUUUUUUUUUUGCCUUCUAAUAUUAGUGCAAAUUUAAAUGUAACUCAUGGCUCAACGGUUGAGCAUCGGCAAUGAACGCUGAAAGUUUGGGGAUCGAUACCCGAACGAGUUAAAUUCAUCACUGUAAAAACAUUCCAAUAUAUCUCUUAAAUCUAUAUAAAAAAAGAUUGAAUACAAAAUCAUUCUGUAAUUAAAUAAAUCAGCAAACUAUCAUCUCCAGGAUUGGAAUUUAAUCGGUGAUAAUUCAAAGACACUCCGGAAUUCUCAGUACAAGAACUGCACAUCAGUGUCCAUCUCAGCAAUGUUGAGAGUCCAAUCCUUAAAA